RNAcentral lists this long non-coding RNA (3115 nucleotides) under Marmota monax (woodchuck). The stretch from base 1 to 48 matches the Rfam family "Small Nucleolar RNA SNORD64", at positions 20 to 67 of the family's 67-position model. The record is from RNAcentral. Lineage: Eukaryota; Metazoa; Chordata; Mammalia; Rodentia; Sciuridae.
UUUACUGAGCAUGAUGAAGUGAAGCUCAAUAUGUUUACUCUGAGGUCCAGCCUAAGUGUCAUUUUUAAGGAUUUAGGACAGAAAUAUUCUGAAUGUAAGUUUUUAAAAUGUAAAUUUCACAAGGUUUUUCUUAUCAAUACUUUCUGGUAAAGGAGAAUGGACUGGACUGGUAGAUUUUUUUUUUUUUUUGCAGUUCAGUAGACAAAAGUGGUUAUAUUAGUAUAGUUUUUUUUGUAGAGUGCUUCUAUAUUCAUAGUCUUGAUAAAUUUCAAAUUUCUCUUUUCCAUUAUGUGUUUCAAGUGAUAAAUUGAGGAGAAUAAGGACUUGGAAGGUACUAUGUAUCCCUACCCCCUUACUAGCAUCACUUAGGUUCAAACGUCUGUGAACAUUUCAUAAGCAUUUUCCUAGUAACUGUGAAGUAGUUUCUAUAUUUACCAGUUGAAUAUAAAAUUGAUGGUUUAUUAUGUAUAGUUUAAGAUAAAGUUAAUUUAUAGCUUUUGCACAUGCUUAAGGUAUAUACAGAGUCAAUUUGGGGUUUGAACUUAAGGUCUUGGACAUGUGACCAAGGGCUAACUGAGCUGUAUCCUCAGCGAUCUGGUUCUACUUUUAAUGUCUUUUUCUGUAUCUUGGCAGUAUGGAAUCUUAGAAGUUUGGACUGUGAUGUAGUUAAGGGAAUGAAAUUGGUAUUUUGUUGGUGAUGCUGGUCACACAAGAUAAAGAUUUGCUAAAUAUUAAUUUCUUGAGUUAUGUAUUUUAUCUCAUUGUAUCCUUUUAUAUUUACUUGUUUUAUGAUAUUGGGUGCUGAACCCAGGUAGACAUUAUUUUGUGUACUACUUGCAUACUUUAAUUAUACUGAUGCUUGAAUUGUUUGAUUAUUGGCCAUUAGAUGAUCUUUCAACUAAUUCCUGCAUCCUUUUGGAGAGGAUUUCCUGAGGAUUAAACUCCAAGUUGCUUUCCCACUGAGCUACAUCCCCAGCCCUUUUCCUUUUUUUUUUUUUAACAGAGUUUUGCUAAGUCUCAAAGGUUGUUCUCCUUUCUUAGCCUCCUGAGUAGCUGGAAUUAUAGCCAUGCACUGGCAUGUUAAUAUUUACCUUUUAUUGUAGGAGUGAUACAUUGUUUGUUACCUGUAGUUGACAAUGUAGGAUAAGGUAAUUAAAUAGUUAAUUUAGAAAAAACCUGUUUAAAAAUCUAGCACAGAUGGUUGUAGAUAUUAAGACUCUAUCCUCAAAUAGUCAUCUCAAUUGCUAGAGUCUACAUGAGUUUUAUGUAUGUAUAUAAAUAUAUGUAUACUAAUGAACAAUAUCAGUAUAAAUAUUGUAACUGUAUAAAAAUUAGGGUGUCAAAGUUGUUUGGGGUAUGGAGAAAUGAACAUUCAUUUAAAAGUAAGGUAAACAAGGAUUUUUUUCUGGAUUUUUCUUUUAUUGAGCCAUUUUUCCAGUUUUGCAUAUUCAACUUUGAUUUAUCAUAGUAUUUUUGAUCUUGACUAAUAGCAAUAUAUUGGGUCAAUUGAGAAAGUUGAGCUACCGUUCCACUUGAUGGAAGUAAAAGUGUUCUGUUGAGUGAGAAAGAAAAGGAACAAGUGUAGGAUCUGUUGAGGUGUAGUGUAUAUAUGUGUAGGUUCUUUGACCUUGUAAUAUUUGAUGCAAUUGAGAGUGGACACUGUAGUCUUUGUUGUAUAAGCUUCAUCCAAAUAACUUUAUUUGGUUGGUAGUUCUUCUGUACAGAUGACCUGAAGAAAAUUCUCCACAAAUAAGAAUCUGUGGAAGAGAUGAACAAUUUGUUUUUGUGGUUUGGGGAUAGUUUCUUCAACCUGAUGAUGAUUUUCAUCUCUGCCAGGGAAUUUCCAGUCCAGCUAAUUUACAGUAGAAUAAUUUGGCAAAGAGUAAUAGAAGGCAAGAAUUAGUAAUAGGUUGUUGAGUGCAUUGAUGGAUGGGGGAAAGGAAAUAUAGAAUCUAAGUAUACAGAGGUUGGAGCAUGUCCUUAAAUUGUUAUAAAGGUAGAUAUGUAAAUUUAGAGUAAUAUUAGGAUGUUUCACUUUUUGGCAUUGAAAGAACUUAUAUUUGUAUUUUGUAACAGUGAUGCAGUUGAGAAGUCAGUCAUCAUUUACAUGGCAAUAUUUGUUUUUCUUCAGAGGGUGAGUCUCAGCCCCCUUUUCUGUGCCCUCUUUUGAGGUGACUAUAUAAGGGAAUGUCUUAACAUUACUGUGACUAGCAAGAUUUGCUGAUCAAGUAUCUGUAUUGGAAUGGGUAAAGGGCAUUUCUAGACAGCUUUGAUUAAAUUGGAGCUUUUCAAAAUUUAAUGUGCAUAUGAAUUACUUGGAGGAGAGCUUAUUAAAACAGUUUUCUGGGUCCCAGUUUUGGAAUUUCUGCUUUUCAUUAGGUAUAGAUGUGAAAUUAGAUUUUUAAUAAGUUGGCAGAUGGUAUUGUUCCUAGGCACAACACUUAGAGAACAAUGGGGUGGUUGUGUUCAGGAUGGAGUUUUCAUUUUCUGAAUGUGCUUUUAUAUGACUUAAUUAAUUAAUUAAUUAAUUUUUUGUCUUUGUUGAUUUUUUUUUUACAUUCAGUCUCCUGGUGAUCUUAUGAUAUGUCUUCUAUGCUUAAAGCAAUAGACAUUUGUUUAUCUGACUGCAAGAAUAGCUAUGCAUAAAUCCCUGGACAAAAAUAAUUAAAGGGAAAAAGGUAGAAAGAAUAAAAGUUGUCAUUAGUGUGUACCCAGAGACAGUGUGUUGAUGUAGGUCAGUGUUAGAGUGGCUGCCUAAUAGGUGCAAAGCCCUGGGUUUGAUCCCAAACACUUCCAAACAAAUGUAAACACAGUGAUAUUAACUCUAUGAAAACUGACAUAACAUUUGAUUGCUUUAACAUAAUAUUUAAUAUGACUUAAUUUAUAUAGAUGUGGACAGUGCAAUGUAAGGUAUUCUUAUAGCAUGUUUGUAAUUGAGGAAAUGAUAAAUGGAGUUUGAAAGUUGUCCUAACUAAUUUGAAGAUGAAAGCUUUUUAUUGUUUUCCUAAAAAUAAAUCAGCUGUUCAAAUGCUAGAUUAAAAUUAGAUUAACUUUGAAUCCACCACAAUUCUAAAUCCAGUUUAAUUAAACACACUUCACAAAAAAAAGACUUUCA